GAGGAUUGCUUUUUAGGCCCCCUCAAUAUCUCUUUAGGCCCCCUAAAAAUACAAAAAUAACCUUUAUAAGACUUCCGGUAGAUAAAUACCGGUAGUUCAUUUUAACUUUUCUCAUUUUGCACCUCCGGUAUGUACAUACCGAAGGCACAUUUUCAAACUGUUGGAAUUACCAAAUUGAAAACAUUCACAGUAUUUUUUGUACACUUAGACCUUUUGCAAUUGCAACCUCUUUUGUGUCUUAGGUCCAUUGGCAUCAUCAGUACUUGUUUUCUUCCUAUAUAGAGCAAUGCAAUAUUUGGUAAAACUAGCAAACAUGUAAAGAAUAAAAAUUAUGACCUAUGAGAAAGAUCAUGAUAACUAAAUUUUUCCUAGAGGUGCUAGAAUGGUUGAAUUCCUCAGCAUUUGCAGGGCUUACUUUCCUCUUAUAAGGUGCGUUUGUCGGAUAUACGUCGAUGGUUUCUGUCAAGAUAAGAGACUCGGAAGUGAAAGAAUCUGCAACUACUGAAGCAUCAGUUUCAUGGCUCUCAUUCCUAGUAUCAAUAAAAGAUUGACCAAUGACCAUCCAUAUUGAACGGAGUUAAGGAUCUUGUCACGUUUUCCACUAUAUGGAAACUUAUAGAAGAUUUGGACCCCGGUAAACCAUCUGAUAAUUUCAUACAUGUAGUUGAAAAUGUGCCUCCGGUAUGUACAUACCGAAGGUUUAAAAU
This 707-nucleotide long non-coding RNA is filed under the name Medicago truncatula (barrel medic). Its description in RNAcentral is "long non-coding RNA (MTRU_LNC008829)". Lineage: Eukaryota; Viridiplantae; Streptophyta; Magnoliopsida; Fabales; Fabaceae. The record is from RNAcentral.